GCAAUCUGCCCUGCACUCUGGGACAAGCCCUGGAAACGGGGUCUAAUACCGGAUACUGACCCGCUUGGGCAUCCAAGCGGUUCGAAAGCUCCGGCGGUGCAGGAUGAGCCCGCGGCCUAUCAGCUAGUUGGUGAGGUAAUGGCUCACCAAGGCGACGACGGGUAGCCGGCCUGAGAGGGCGACCGGCCACACUGGGACUGAGACACGGCCCAGACUCCUACGGGAGGCAGCAGUGGGGAAUAUUGCACAAUGGGCGAAAGCCUGAUGCAGCGACGCCGCGUGAGGGAUGACGGCCUUCGGGUUGUAAACCUCUUUCAGCAGGGAAGAAGCGAAAGUGACGGUACCUGCAGAAGAAGCGCCGGCUAACUACGUGCCAGCAGCCGCGGUAAUACGUAGGGCGCAAGCGUUGUCCGGAAUUAUUGGGCGUAAAGAGCUCGUAGGCGGCUUGUCACGUCGGUUGUGAAAGCCCGGGGCUUAACCCCGGGUCUGCAGUCGAUACGGGCAGGCUAGAGUUCGGUAGGGGAGAUCGGAAUUCCUGGUGUAGCGGUGAAAUGCGCAGAUAUCAGGAGGAACACCGGUGGCGAAGGCGGAUCUCUGGGCCGAUACUGACGCUGAGGAGCGAAAGCGUGGGGAGCGAACAGGAUUAGAUACCCUGGUAGUCCACGCCGUAAA
This 672-nucleotide ribosomal RNA is filed under the name Streptomyces sp. GLT-Irr-15. RNAcentral describes it as "bacterial SSU rRNA". It matches the Rfam family "Bacterial small subunit ribosomal RNA", at positions 121 to 806 of the family's 1533-position model. Lineage: Bacteria; Bacillati; Actinomycetota; Actinomycetes; Kitasatosporales; Streptomycetaceae. The record is from RNAcentral.